AUUGAACGCUGGCGGCAGGCCUAACACAUGCAAGUCGAGCGGAUGAAGGGAGCUUGCUCCUGGAUUCAGCGGCGGACGGGUGAGUAAUGCCUAGGAAUCUGCCUGGUAGUGGGGGAUAACGUCCGGAAACGGGCGCUAAUACCGCAUACGUCCUGAGGGAGCAAGUGGGGGAUCUUCGGACCUCACGCUAUCAGAUGAGCCUAGGUCGGAUUGGCUAGUUGGUGGGGUAAGGCCUACCAAGGCGACGAUCCGUAACUGGUCUGAGAGGAUGAUCAGUCACACUGGAACUGAGACACGGUCCAGACUCCUACGGGAGGAAGCAGUGGGGAAUAUUGGACAAUGGGCGAAAGCCUGAUACAGCAAAGCCGCGUGUGUGAAGAAGGUCUUCGGAUUGUAAAGCACUUUAAGUUGGGAGGAAGGGAAGUAAGUUAAUACCUUGCUGUUUUGACGUUACCAACAGAAUAAGCACCGGCUAACUUCGUG
This 483-nucleotide ribosomal RNA is filed under the name uncultured bacterium. RNAcentral describes it as "partial 16S ribosomal RNA". It matches the Rfam family "Bacterial small subunit ribosomal RNA", at positions 30 to 507 of the family's 1533-position model. The record is from RNAcentral.